GCGGGGCCCUCUCUGCGCACGCGCAUUGCGCAGUUGGAAACCAUGUUUCGUUCCUGCUUCUAGCAGUCACUGGAUUAGAUACCCGCUCGCUGCACCUCGCAAAAUUGCUGCAGUAUGACCCUAUCUUCAAAGAAAUAAAGGAGAAAAAUACAUUGUGUUACAAGAUGAAGAAACCAAACUCGUCAUGAAGUUGGUAGAAGAUACAAAUAUAGAUCAUUGUUAAGAUGAGAUCAUUAUGGAGUAGGACAGGGCUUUAAUCCAAUAUCACUGAUGUCCUUGUAAGAAGAGAGGAAACGACACAGACACAGAGAUGCGGGAGAAACAGCCUUGGAAUAUGAAGGCAGAGAGAUACACCUAUAAGCCAAGGGAAACCAAAGAUUUCCAGCCAUCCACCAGCAGAUAGGAGAGAGGCAUGGAACAGAUUCUCUCUCCGAACGCCCAGAAGGAACCCACCCUGCCGACACCUGAUCUCACAUUUCUAGCCUCCUCCAGAACUGUGAGAGAAUAAAUUUCUGUAGGUUAGGUCA
Molecule: long non-coding RNA, 527 nt
Organism: Acinonyx jubatus (cheetah)
Lineage: Eukaryota; Metazoa; Chordata; Mammalia; Carnivora; Felidae
Exons: 3
Source: RefSeq, a predicted model, not a curated record